GUAGGGAAUAUUGGGCAAUGGAGGCAACUCUGACCCAGCCAUGCCGCGUGCAGGAUGACGGCCCUCUGGGUUGUAAACUGCUUUUAUACGGGAAGAAAAAAUACUACGUGUAGUAUACUGACGGUACCGUAAGAAUAAGGAUCGGCUAACUCCGUGCCAGCAGCCGCGGUAAUACGGAGGAUCCAAGCGUUGUCCGGAUUUAUUGGGUUUAAAGGGUGCGUAGGCGGAUCUUUAAGUCAGUGGUGAAAGCCUGCAGCUUAACUGUAGAAUUGCCAUUGAAACUGAAGAUCUUGAAUGUGGUUAAAGUAGGCGGAAUGUAUCAUGUAGCGGUGAAAUGCUUAGAUAUGAUACAGAACACCGAUAGCGAAGGCAGCUUGCUGAACCAUUAUUGACGCUGAGGCACGAAAGCGUGGGGAGCGAACAGGAUUAGAAACCCGAGUAGUCC
RNAcentral lists this ribosomal RNA (445 nucleotides) under uncultured bacterium. Its description in RNAcentral is "bacterial SSU rRNA". It matches the Rfam family "Bacterial small subunit ribosomal RNA", at positions 354 to 796 of the family's 1533-position model. The record is from RNAcentral.